AGUGAACGCUGGCGGCAGGCCUAAUACAUGCAAGUCGAACGGCAGCACAGCAGAGCUUGCUCUGUGGGUGGCGAGUGGCGGACGGGUGAGGAAUACAUGGGAAUCUGCCCAGUCGUGGGGGAUAACGUAGGGAAACUUACGCUAAUACCGCAUGCGCCCUUCGGGGAAAGCCGGGGAACCUUCGGGCCUGGCGCGAUUGGAUGAGCCAGGUCGGAUUAGCUAGUUGGCGGGGUAAUGGCCCACCAAGGCGACGAUCCGUAGCUGGUCUGAGAGGAUGAUCAGCCACACUGGAACUGAGACACGGUCCAGACUCCUACGGGAGCAGCAGUAGGGAAUAUUGGACAAUGGGCGCAAGCCUGAUCCAGCCAUGCCGCGUGAGUGAAGAAGGCCCUCGGGUUGUAAAGC
This 405-nucleotide ribosomal RNA is filed under the name uncultured bacterium. Its description in RNAcentral is "bacterial SSU rRNA". It matches the Rfam family "Bacterial small subunit ribosomal RNA", at positions 29 to 431 of the family's 1533-position model. The record is from RNAcentral.